GACGAACGCUGGCGGCGUGCUUAACACAUGCAAGUCGAACGGACAGGCCCUGCUUUUGUGGGGUGCUCGAGUGGCGAACGGGUGAGUAACACGUGAGUAACACGCACUUGAAUUUGGGAUAACUUCAGGAAACUGCGGAUCAUAUAGGAUAGGAGCUCCUGCUGCAUGGUGGGGGUUGGAAAGUUUCGGCGGUUCGGGAUGGACUCGCGGCUUAUCAGCUUGUUGGUGUGGUAGUGGCUUACAAAGGUUUUGAAGGGUAGGCCGCCUGAGAGGGGGACCGGGCACCUUGGUACUGAGAUACGGCCCAGACUGCUAUGGGAGGCAGCAGUGGGAAAUAUGGCACAAUGGGCCGAAGCCUGAUGCAGCAACGCCGCGUUCGGGAUGACGUCCUUCGGGUUGUAAACCGCUUUCGCCUGUGACGAAGCGUUAGUGACGGUAAUUGGUAAAAAAGCACCGGCUAACUACGUG
This 468-nucleotide ribosomal RNA is filed under the name uncultured bacterium. Its description in RNAcentral is "partial 16S ribosomal RNA". It matches the Rfam family "Bacterial small subunit ribosomal RNA", at positions 28 to 507 of the family's 1533-position model. The record is from RNAcentral.